This 500-nucleotide ribosomal RNA is filed under the name uncultured bacterium. Its description in RNAcentral is "partial 16S ribosomal RNA". It matches the Rfam family "Bacterial small subunit ribosomal RNA", at positions 29 to 523 of the family's 1533-position model. The record is from RNAcentral.
AAUGAACGCUGGCGGAAUGCUUUACACAUGCAAGUCGAACGGCAGCACGGACUUCGGUCUGGUGGCGAGUGGCGAACGGGUGAGUAACAUAUCGGAACGUAUCCAAUAAUGGGGGAUAACGAGUCGAAAGAUUCGCUAAUACCGCAUACGCCCUACGGGGGAAAGCUGGGGACCUUCGGGCCUGGCGUUAAUGGAGCGGCCGAUAUCUGAUUAGCUAGUUGGUGAGGUAAAGGCUCACCAAGGCGACGAUCAGUAGCUGGUCUGAGAGGACGACCAGCCAGACUGGAACUGAGACACGGUCCAGCCUCCUACGGGAGGCAGCAGUGGGGAAUUUUGGACAAUGGGCGCAAGCCUGAUCCAGCCAUUCCGCGUGAGUGAAGAAGGCCUUCGGGUUGUAAAGCUCUUUCGCAAGGGAAGAAAACUUAGCCACUAACAUUGGUUGAGGUUGACGGUACCUUGAUAAGAAGCACCGGCUAACUACGUGCCAGCAGCCGCAGUAA